RNAcentral lists this ribosomal RNA (351 nucleotides) under Salmonella enterica subsp. enterica serovar Typhimurium. RNAcentral describes it as "bacterial SSU rRNA". It matches the Rfam family "Bacterial small subunit ribosomal RNA", at positions 65 to 418 of the family's 1533-position model. Lineage: Bacteria; Pseudomonadati; Pseudomonadota; Gammaproteobacteria; Enterobacterales; Enterobacteriaceae. The record is from RNAcentral.
AACAGGAAGCAGCUUGCUGCUUCGCUCACGAGUGGCGGACGGGUGAGUAAUGUCUGGGAAACUGCCUGAUGGAGGGGGAUAACUACUGGAAACGGUGGCUAAUACCGCAUAACGUCGCAAGACCAAAGAGGGGGACCUUCGGGCCUCUUGCCAUCAGAUGUGCCCAGAUGGGAUUAGCUAGUUGGUGAGGUAACGGCUCACCAAGGCGACGAUCCCUAGCUGGUCUGAGAGGAUGACCAGCCACACUGGAACUGAGACACGGUCCAGACUCCUACGGGAGGCAGCAGUGGGGAAUAUUGCACAAUGGGCGCAAGCCUGAUGCAGCCAUGCCGCGUGUAUGAAGAAGGCCUU